GACGAACGCUGGCGGCGUGCCUAAUACAUGCAAGUCGAACGAGAGCAACCGGUGCUUGCACUGGUCAAUCUAGUGGCGAACGGGUGAGUAACACGUGGGUAACCUGCCCAUCAAAGGGGGAUAACAUCCGGAAACGGACGCUAAAACCGCAUAGGUCUUCGAACCGCAUGGUUUGAAGAGGAAAAGAGGCGCAAGCUUCUGCUGAUGGAUGGACCCGCGGUGCAUUAGCUAGUUGGUGAGGUAACGGCUCACCAAGGCCGUGAUGCAUAGCCGACCUGAGAGGGUGAUCGGCCACAUUGGGACUGAGACACGGCCCAAACUCCUACGGGAGGCAGCAGUAGGGAAUCUUCCGCAAUGGACGCAAGUCUGACGGAGCAACGCCGCGUGAGUGAAGAAGGUUUUCGGAUCGUAAAACUCUGUUGUUAGAGAAGAACAAGUGCUAGAGUAACUGUUAGCGCCUUGACGGUAUCUAACCAGAAAGCCACGGCUAACUACGUG
RNAcentral lists this ribosomal RNA (498 nucleotides) under uncultured bacterium. RNAcentral describes it as "partial 16S ribosomal RNA". It matches the Rfam family "Bacterial small subunit ribosomal RNA", at positions 28 to 507 of the family's 1533-position model. The record is from RNAcentral.